AUUGCAUAACCAGGCAGAACUGUU
This 24-nucleotide non-coding RNA is filed under the name Cricetulus griseus (Chinese hamster). Lineage: Eukaryota; Metazoa; Chordata; Mammalia; Rodentia; Cricetidae. The record is from RNAcentral.